Molecule: long non-coding RNA, 970 nt
Organism: Bactrocera tryoni
Lineage: Eukaryota; Metazoa; Arthropoda; Insecta; Diptera; Tephritidae
Exons: 3
Source: RefSeq, a predicted model, not a curated record
CACACGGUCGGAGGACAUAGGCUUGAUCCAGGCUACUGGCGAUCUACCGCCACCACAACUGACAGCUCAUUUUUCUUCAUUGCGUCGCCUUCAAUAUAUUUUUGUCCUCUUCUUGGCGCUUUCACUCUUAAUGACAUUAAAAUUAAAAUGUGUUAUUUGAUAAAGACCAUAAAAUGCGAGAGAGAUAAGUGAGCAAUGCAAGGAUGUAACGAUGCUGCAAAGGAGAAAUGUUUAAAGCCUCAAGCAUUUCGAAAUUAAUUUCAUGGAUAUUUCUUCGGUACCCAACUUUUGAGCCUAUAAAUACCACUUUUUCGUUUUUGAGACUGACUGCAGCACAAAGUCAUGGAACGACAUAUAAUCCGGAAACGAUUUCGAUACUAGCAAAAGGCACUAUUUUUGGGGACCCACCAGUCGUCUAUUUCUGAUUUGAAACAAAGUAAAGGGUGAUCCUAGUAGAGGUACUUCUUUCAAUAGCUGUGAUGUUAUUAAGAAAUUCACCUUCUGUAAAGAAUGUGUUUCGCGCGCUUCGCUCAACUUAUGUUCAAUAUAAACGACCUGCCGAGCGUACUAUUCGCAACACCACUCCCAUCUUGAGACCCAGCAUUCAUUAUUGGAUAAUAUUCGAAUUCGCAUAAGCCACGUCGAGCACUCAGACAAGAAAAUAUAGCAGCCGUAGCUGAGAGCGUACGCGAAGAACGAGGAAAGUCGAUUCGGUGUCGUUGGUCGGUUGGCCGUCAAGAUCGUGUGGAAUCACACCGUUAGAUUUUUUCCCGAGGGGAUAUCUAAAAAUGGAUCAGCCAAACCAAUAAAACUACUACUCCAAAUUCCAUCCGUCAGAUUGAAAUUUUUGCGACCUUGGCUUCGAACUAAAACCACGAUAUUGUUGGAUAUACUCUAAGUCUUGAUAUAGAUUCAGUUAAGGAUAGAUUUCUUUAUAUUUUAGCUUUUACUCUUUUAGGAUUUUGCUUUC